GUUCUUAUAGUGUAGAUGAGCACAUGAGAUUUUCAAUCUUUUAGGGCACAAUGAAAAAAUGUUGUAGUGUUAAGAAUA
Molecule: transfer RNA, 78 nt
Filed under: Helicocranchia sp. n SB-2022
Lineage: Eukaryota; Metazoa; Mollusca; Cephalopoda; Oegopsida; Cranchiidae
Description: tRNA-Glu
Source: RNAcentral